Acanthopagrus latus (yellowfin seabream) is the source of this 2039-nucleotide RNA transcript. It is a transcript of the gene named zeta-sarcoglycan-like, with no coding region annotated. The record is from RefSeq and is a predicted model, not a curated record. NCBI's taxonomy places the organism in Eukaryota, Metazoa, Chordata, Actinopteri, Spariformes, Sparidae. The transcript is spliced from 9 exons.
ACGUUGGAUUUUCUCUCUGUGUUGUGGAGAGCAGCUAGCUUGAAUGGAUCUCGCCCGUCAGAACUUUGUGGAAAUAUGUAACUGACAGAUGAGACUUUAACAUGGAGCAGUCGGCUACUCUCGACAUAGAGACGCUGAAGAUUACCCAGGAGCAGUUUAUCCUCGCAUCCCAGUCCCUGCACCUCCAGCGACCAGGGUGUGAUGCCGGCGUGUACCCAGUGGGUCUGUACGGCUGGAGGAAAAGAUGCAUUUAUUUCUUCCUGCUGCUGCUCCUGGUCACCAUGAUAGUUAACCUGGCCCUCACUGUCUGGAUCAUAAAGGUCAUGAAUUUCUCAUUGGACGGAAUGGGAAACCUGCAGUUGAAUCAGGAUGGGAUUCGCCUGGAGGGAAUCUCUGAGUUUCUCCUCCCUCUCUAUGUGAAUGAGAUCCAGUCCAGAAGGGACAGCUUGUUGGUCUUGCGGUCAGAAAAGAAUGUGACGCUGAACGUCAGGAACGACCAAGGCCAGCUGACCGGUCAGCUCACAGUGGGACCUGAGGCUGUGGAGGCCCAGUGUCAGAGGCUGGAGGUACGAAGUAAAGAUGGAGGCAAACUGCUGUUCACUGCAACUGAAGAGGAGGUCAUCAUGACGACUGAAAAGUUCAUCAUCACAGGCUCGGAAGGCGCUGUGUUUGGACACUCAGUAGAAACUCCCCUGAUCCAGUCGAGGGCUUCUGAAGACCUUAAGCUCGAGUCUCCAACGCGGACCCUGACCAUGGAGGCUCCCAGAGGGGUGGAAGUGAGCGCCGCCAAGGGGCCGCUGAAGGUCAGCGGUCGGAAGGACCUGCAGCUGGAGUCCACAGAGGGAGAGGGUUCGCUACAUAAACGUUGACACGAGGCUGGCUGACCUUGGCACUGCAGCUGAGAGCGAGGCAGGCAGCCACGUGUCAGCAGGUUCACCUCGCUGCACUCCACAUGCUCCGUCGCUGCCCUGCGGCACAGACCGGCUGCUUUGGUGCUGCAGUAGAGCGCAGAAGUCCAGCUCAGCGUGUGAUAAUGGUACGUUGCUAUAUAAGAAAGUUGUGCUGCAAUAGAAAUAUCUAGGUGUCAGUUUUCACAAGUCGAUGUACAUGUGGAGGAUUCCUGUAGUUAGAUUCUCUGUUGGGCCUCGACCCAGCGCUUAGCUUGUGCUGCCAUCUAUUGGUUCUGAACGCUCAAGAUCACAUUUGGAAAAUUCAAUCAAAGCUGGAUUACCACCUGGACAAAAAGGGAAGAUGACCAAGAGUCCUCUGACGACCUGGGUCUACUGUACGUCAGUUACAGCCAAUUCAGUUAAUUUCGUUCAUUUGUUCAGAAAUAUGCAUCACAACUCAAGCAGCAUUAAUCUAUCAUGUCAGUAUAAGUUGCCAUUAUGUCCUUUGUAUGUUCUUGAUUGUUAAAAGUCAAUAUCUUAGUUACUUUAUGUUUAACUUUUUAUGCAACUGUCUUGGCCAGGACUGAACUGUUCCAUUAUAAAAGAGAUAUUGAACCUCAGUGGGAAUAUUCCUGCUUAAAUAAAAUAUAAAUUGAAAUAAUGAUAAUAAAGUAAAGCUGGAACACACACACACUGCACAGUCAACAGCCCAUCAACCGUACAGUACAUUCUGGGGCUCCUUGUGAUUACAGAUGUUUAAAUAACGAGACAGAAACUCAGGAUACGAAAUAAUCUUUAAUUCUUUCAUUAAGAACAUAAACUCUUAAACAUUAAUGAGGAAAUCUGAAUAAAAGAAAUAUAGGCCACCGUAUGAUCAACCACUGCUGAAGAGCUGGUAGAUUUUAAAACUUGUCUUGUGGCUGAAAAAUGAAAAUUAAGAAUUAAACUGUGAUUAAAUAUUCAACAAAGUAAUGCCAGUUGUAUUACAGAAUAUAAGGACUGUUUAUAGCAAGCAGCUCAUGUUACAUCAUCAAUAGUGAAGACUCUAAAUGUUGAUAAUGAAUAUAGAUGAUUUCCAUACAGGCCAUAAAUGUGAGGCUCUUGUAAUACCGUAUUUUAAAGUAAAUAUAUGUAAUUAAGAUCAACAUA